This is a long non-coding RNA of Lathyrus oleraceus (garden pea), 428 nucleotides long. RefSeq lists it as uncharacterized. The transcript is spliced from 4 exons. NCBI's taxonomy places the organism in Eukaryota, Viridiplantae, Streptophyta, Magnoliopsida, Fabales, Fabaceae. The record is from RefSeq and is a predicted model, not a curated record.
AAUUCGGAUCCCUACUUCAUCCCUGGAGGUCCUUAUUUAUAGCAUUUUUGAUGUACGAGGUUUUGAAUUCCUCUCUCAUGAGCUUGGCAAGUUAGUGGGAGAAUCAUUCCGUUAGGUAGCAGAAUUUCUCAGAGUUAGUGGUGCUUCAAAUCGGUGUGGUCCCUCAAAUGGCAGGAUGAGGUUUUGUCUGUAGUGAAUCCGUGGUUUAUGUUGUGAUAGAUGCAUGUUUACAAGGUUUGGAAGAUUGACGAGUAUGUUUCAUCGUGACAGGUUUUGUCAUGCUAUCAUGCUAUCUUGAAUGCUGACUGCUGGAUUGGUUUCUCUCACAUAUCUUAGGACAUGUUUGGUUUUGGUUGAAGGAUGGGUAGGUAGAUGGCAUAGUUAUGUGAUGGAUAGACUUGCAUCAUGAGUUUGGCAUGUGGUUGUGC